This 879-nucleotide ribosomal RNA is filed under the name Ramularia haroldporteri. Its description in RNAcentral is "eukaryotic LSU rRNA". It matches the Rfam family "Eukaryotic large subunit ribosomal RNA", at positions 33 to 943 of the family's 3401-position model. The record is from RNAcentral. Lineage: Eukaryota; Fungi; Ascomycota; Dothideomycetes; Mycosphaerellales; Mycosphaerellaceae.
CUUAAGCAUAUCAAUAAGCGGAGGAAAAGAAACCAACAGGGAUUGCCCUAGUAACGGCGAGUGAAGCGGCAACAGCUCAAAUUUGAAAUCUGGCGCAAGCCCGAGUUGUAAUUUGUAGAGGAUGCUUCUAGGUAGCGACCGGUCUAAGUUCCUUGGAACAGGACGUCAUAGAGGGUGAGAAUCCCGUAUGUGACCGGCCCGCACCUUCUACGUAGCUCCUUCGACGAGUCGAGUUGUUUGGGAAUGCAGCUCUAAAUGGGAGGUAAAUUUCUUCUAAAGCUAAAUACCGGCCAGAGACCGAUAGCGCACAAGUAGAGUGAUCGAAAGAUGAAAAGCACUUUGGAAAGAGAGUUAAAAAGCACGUGAAAUUGUUGAAAGGGAAGCGCUCACAACCAGACUUCUGGGCGGUGUUCCGCCGGUCUUCUGACCGGUCUACUCACCGUCCCGAGGCCAACAUCAUCUGGGACCGCCGGAUAAGACCUCAGGAAUGUAGCUCCCCUCGGGGAGUGUUAUAGCCUGUGGUGAUGCGGCGCGUCUCGGGUGAGGUCCGCGCUUCGGCAAGGAUGUUGGCGUAAUGGUUGUCAGCGGCCCGUCUUGAAACACGGACCAAGGAGUCUAACAUCUAUGCGAGUGUUCGGGUGUCAAACCCCUACGCGUAAUGAAAGUGAACGGAGGUGGGAAGGGUAACCUGCACCAUCGACCGAUCCUGAUGUCCUCGGAUGGAUUUGAGUAAGAGCAUAGCUGUUGGGACCCGAAAGAUGGUGAACUAUGCCUGAAUAGGGUGAAGCCAGAGGAAACUCUGGUGGAGGCUCGCAGCGGUUCUGACGUGCAAAUCGAUCGUCAAAUUUGGGUAUAGGGGCGAAAGACUAAUCGAACCAU